UUGAAAACAUUCAAGUACGGAAUAAACUAUUACUGCGAAUACGCUCAUAUGACACAAGAACAAUCUCUGAGCUUCUUUGAGGAUGUCCAGAUGACUGCUGACUGCACUAAUUGCAUCAAUCGUGUAUCCAUACAGGUUCUUUCUAUAAAAUAGUGGUCGCUAGUUAUGAGGCGUUAAGCCUUCAUGGAUAUAAACAGACUAUUCCACCUAAGUGAUCUGGCAGAAGCUUAGUUUUCUACCACAACAUCCACCGUCCUCCCUCCCUCCCUUCCUAGCUGGUCAGAAAAGCUACUCAGAAUAAAGACUACAUUUCCCAGCCAUCUUUGCAGCUAGGUUUAUCCACCUGACUAAAUUCCACCGGCCUGCCACAAGAAUACGAAGGCCAGAGCUCCAGCAGCUGUUGGAGCCACGAUGUGACCCUGAAGGCAGGAAACUCAGCUUUGGAAGGCAGGACCUUGCUCUGUCACCCAGGCUGUAGUGCAAUGGUGUGAUCUCAGCUUACUGCAGCCUCAACCUCCUGGGCUCAAGUGAUCCUACCACAGCUUCCUGAGUAGCUGGGACUACAGUAACUCCAGGUUGAAGAACUUCUACUUAUAGGCAUCUAUUCAACGAAGACGAAUCCUGGAAUGGGGAUGGAAAUGAUGGCUCAUGUCUUAGCAAACUACCAGUACGUCUACUAGAACCGGAACUGAUCCGAGAGGACAGGGAAGUCAGUGUGGGCGGCUCUAAGGAGCCUCCCUCUCUACAGCUGCGGCUCAGAGGAUUACGGCGCUUCAUCCACAAGGCAACAUUGCACAAGUAGCUUUUGAACAAAAGUCAUGGAUACUAUUAAUGAUAUGGUAAUCCUUAAUCGAGCUACCUCCCAGUAGUGAUUAUACUGACAUGGGAAGAAUAUCUAAGUCGUGGAGGCAGCCCACAACAACACUGUGUCAUUGUUCACCCCGGGCUCGACCAGGACUAACUUUUACCAGCAUCUCUAACGUCACCUUUCCCCUGAUGCCUCCCCACAACCCCUGGCCCCAGCUCCCAUUCCCGCCCCAUCAUAGCAAAAAAGUAGCAAAGAAAACCCUGAUCCUAAAUCUUUUUCUGGAUUUUUUUUUGCAAGUUCCCACACACAUUUAGUGUCGUCUCAAAAUUCACGCUGUCAACUGUCUCUAGGAAUCAUUUCCAUCUGAGAACAGACCACACAAAG
This 1192-nucleotide long non-coding RNA is filed under the name Homo sapiens (human). RNAcentral's name for it is "long intergenic non-protein coding RNA 2436". Lineage: Eukaryota; Metazoa; Chordata; Mammalia; Primates; Hominidae. The record is from RNAcentral.